Cinara cedri is the source of this 78-nucleotide non-coding RNA. The record is from the annotation of a GenBank genome assembly. Lineage: Eukaryota; Metazoa; Arthropoda; Insecta; Hemiptera; Aphididae.
AAUGAUAUACCCUUUAGAACCGAGCUUUUGUAAAAUUAUCGUUUAGUUCAGAAGCUCGUCUCUUUGGGUAUAUUAUGG